UUUAAUUAAAUUUUCUUCUUCUUCAAAGCUUCUUCUCGAUUCUCAACCCAGAAAACACAGAGCAAUCAAAAUCAAAAUCAUGGGGUUUUUCGUUUUUGUGCAUUUCUAACUGGAUUAAAAUCACUAAUCAGUCUCAAGUCUCAACGAAUCCCAAAUCCUUCACCGAUUUCAUCAAUUUCAAUUUGAAAAUUUUUCUGCAACUCCAUAAGAGGGUUCCUGAAGAUAUUUAGGAUCAAUUUUUCAGCUCUGGUGAAUCUCAUAUUUUAGAGAAAAAUGAAAUUUAAGGUACCAUUCACUAGUCUACAUCUAGAUUGAGUGUUGAGCUUUGCUUUUGUACGAUUUAACUGCUAUUUCGUUUCUUAUAUGUUCCCGUUUGAUACUUGUGUUCAACAGAAAGUGAAAAAAUGUGAGAAAUAUGAGCUCAAAGGAACCAAAAUGUUAUUUUCUCAUGUUCUUGUUUUGCUUGACUUGCUUCUUGCUUCAGUAGGAUGUGAUAGAUAUAGAUCGAUAUGUGCACCUCCAUUUUGGUCAAUGGCUUAAGCAAAAAGUAGAAAAGGAUGACCUUGCACCGGAUCCAUCUAGUAAGGUUUUAAAGUUCUCAGCAUAUAACAUCAAUGGAUUCAAGUUUAAAACUAUAGAAAGGGAUCAAGACCUAACAACUCAGAAUAGUGGAAUUUUUGUCUCAGCUGAAACCAUUAGUUAUGCAAGUUCACGUGAUCUUAAUCCUAGAGCCGGAGAUGUUUCCAUACUAUGGGAAAUUAACUGAAAUUCUGGAAUUGAACUACUAUGACUCGUUUAGAGUUGUGUUAUUCAAAUGUAAAUGGGUUGAUACUCGUGAUGCUCGAGGGUAUAAGAAGGAUGAUUUUGGUCACACUAUGGUAAAUUUCUCUCGUCUAAGUCACACUGGAAAUGGUGAAGAAGAUGAGCCUUAUGUGCUGGCUUCUCAGGCAAGAUUGGUUUACUAUGUGGAAGAUCCACAAGAAAAAGAAUGGAGUGUCCAACCAAGAGACUUGUAUGAUAUGGGUGAUCCUACUAUUUCAGAUGAAAUUCCUCCUGAGGUUAUCAUUGAAGAUCCUCAUCCUCAUGUUCAAAGUUCAAUGAUUAUAUCUGAUAAUAUUUCUAAUAUUAGAUUAGUGAGGCAAAUAGAAGAUCUUGAAAAUUCUCAGAUUCCAUGUGAUUAACUUUUUCAGGUCCAGAUCAUAUUUACCUUUUUAAAACUUAAUUCUUGCAUAAACUUUGUUUGUUUGUUGUCUGACAUUGGUAUGUGCAGUCGAGAUGGUUAUAUUAAAAGUUUCUUAUUCACUCUGAGUUGUAAAGCAUUAUGUGAUUGAAGCUGAUGACUCUGGUGAGUUUGAUGCUGUCAACCACAAGAAGAAUCUUGAUAUAUACCAGUUUAAAACAAGGAAAUUUCAUGGUGGGAACUCCUAAAGCUAUACACGAGCAAGGAGGAUUUGAGUUCUUCAUCAAAAUUAAUUAGGACCACGCCAAAGCUCGAGCCGCUUUUUUUCUUCUGUUUUUUUUUCUUUUUUUUUCUUCUUUUUUUUCUUUUCUUCUUUUUUCUUUUGUAAUCUAUGCUUAACUGCAGGCAUUGGCUUUGCAAAGAAGAUCCAAGAGUGAGCAAGGGUCUUCUUCUACCGACAGUGGUGGCGUGGUUCUCUCUCUUCGGUGUGGUUAUGGCUCCGGUAAACAGAGAAGAAGAUCCGGUGUAAAGGCCCCUGGUUUGAGGACGCCGGUGGGUUAUCGCCGGAGCUUCUCGGCUCCUCCGUUUCAACGGCUCGCUGUGACUACAGCGGAAGCCGAAGGGUGAGUGGUGGGGAGUGCUGUUUCGUCGAGGUGGUUAAUGGCUCGAUCCAUUUGGAUCUUGUUGGCUGCCGCGGAUUCUGGUUGCAGUUGGUCUGGGUGAGCCCUCAGCCUCUGUAAUUGCCGCGAAUUGUGUGUCCACCGGACCGGUUUGAAGUUUUCCUUGCUCGAGGGAGAUCGAAGCCGUUGGUGGUUAAAGGAGGGGAUAGAUCUGAGUUUUGGCGGUUUGCUAGGUCAGAAACUGCCAACAUCGAUGUCGGUUGUCGGAAGUUGUGCACACCGGGAGGGUUGUAGCGGGUCAGGUGGCCCGCCGGAUCAAGAUUAAGACAGAAACUAGAUUCUUCUGUCGGUGGUCUGGAUCCUGUUGUUGCUGCCGCAAAGCCGUGGCCCUUGAAUCCACCGGGAUUGGUGCGCUGACUCUCUGUUCCCGGUGAUCAACAGGAUCCGAUCCUCUUGCGGCGGCUGCUCUAUUUUGUUUUCUGUAAAUCCUAAUUUUGUACUGGAUCCGAAUUGUAACAGGCCAAGGCCCAGCCCAUUUGGGAGUUCUAAUAUAAGAAAAAAAUAAUAAUAAAUAAAUAAAUAAAAAGAAAAAGAAAAAA
Camelina sativa (false flax) is the source of this 2399-nucleotide long non-coding RNA. RefSeq lists it as uncharacterized. The record is from RefSeq and is a predicted model, not a curated record. Lineage: Eukaryota; Viridiplantae; Streptophyta; Magnoliopsida; Brassicales; Brassicaceae.